Molecule: unclassified non-coding RNA, 220 nt
Filed under: uncultured Tomentella
Lineage: Eukaryota; Fungi; Basidiomycota; Agaricomycetes; Thelephorales; Thelephoraceae
Description: partial internal transcribed spacer 2
Source: RNAcentral
ACACCUCAACUCUCAUGGUCUGUCAUGAUGAGCUUGGACUUUGGGGGUCUUGCUGGCGUAACCGUCGGCUCCUCUCAAACAAAUCAGCUUGCCAGUGUUUGGUGGCAUCACAGGUGUGAUAACUAUCUACGCUUGUGGCCUUCCACCAGGUGUUACCUUCAGCAAUGGAGGUUCGCUGGAGCUCACAGAUGUCUCUCCUCGGGGAGGACAGCUUUUGAAC